GACGAACGCUGGCGGCGUGCCUAAUACAUGCAAGUAGAACGCUGAAGGAGGAGUUUGCUUCUCUGGAUGAGUUGCGAACGGGUGAGUAACGCGUAGGUAACCUGCCUGGUAGCGGGGGAUAACUAUUGGAAACGAUAGCUAAUACCGCAUAAUAGCAGUUGUUGCAUGACAACUGUUUGAAAGGUGCAAUUGCACCACUACCAGAUGGACCUGCGUUGUAUUAGCUAGUUGGUGGGGUAACGGCUCACCAAGGCGACGAUACAUAGCCGACCUGAGAGGGUGAUCGGCCACACUGGGACUGAGACACGGCCCAGACUCCUACGGGAGGCAGCAGUAGGGAAUCUUCGGCAAUGGACGGAAGUCUGACCGAGCAACGCCGCGUGAGUGAAGAAGGUUUUCGGAUCGUAAAGCUCUGUUGUAAGAGAAGAACGAGUGUGAGAGUGGAAAGUUCACACUGUGACGGUAUCUUACCAGAAAGGGACGGCUAACUACGUG
Molecule: ribosomal RNA, 495 nt
Filed under: uncultured bacterium
Lineage: Bacteria
Description: partial 16S ribosomal RNA
Rfam family: Bacterial small subunit ribosomal RNA
Source: RNAcentral